RNAcentral lists this long non-coding RNA (1309 nucleotides) under Sus scrofa (pig). RNAcentral's name for it is "lncRNA (ENSSSCG00015012458.1)". Lineage: Eukaryota; Metazoa; Chordata; Mammalia; Artiodactyla; Suidae. The record is from RNAcentral.
AUGGGGCCAACCUGGCCACGCGUCCCAGCCUUUUCCCAUUUUGCUUCCUGUGCUCAUGGUUUACUGAACAUGUCACAGGCCCAGCUGGAGCGCAAGCGUCUGUGGGAAACGAGGGUGUGUGCAGAGUGCAGCCCUCCGAGCCUCGUGGAGAAACUGCACAGGGCUUCGGGGAAGACACUGGUGAGUGGUCCUGCAGGGAAGGCCUGGCCCGUGGUGGGCGCCCGGUCCUGUGAGCUUGGUUGGGUCAGGGGUCACCCAGAAAAUAACCACCUUCCACUUCCUUUAAUUAUGCAAACUAGAGCGAGGUGACUGAGAUCUUGCCUCUGGUCUGCAAGACACAGGGAGUUUUGCAAGCCCCAGGGAGUGCAGAAUUUCCUGAAGAUGUUGCACAGGGGCUGGCUUUUGCUGAAGUCGUACAGUAUUCUCCUUUGCUUUGGUUAUGACUGCAGAGGUGCUGGGAAGCCGACUGGAGAGCAGCACCAUGGAGCGGCCGGCUCCUCUCCGUGGGAGGCGCCGCCCGCUCUUUGAGAGGGAAGGGCUCGGCUCUGCUGCCUUGGGCUAAAAGCACUGUGAUCCAGUUCCACCUCCUGGCUCCUUCAUUGGUAAUUGGUUUUCCAAAAUGCAAGGAUUUUUGCUGACCAACAGGGACCUGAAGGCUUGAAAAUUUAGACAGCAGAGAGCUAGGUGGCUGAGAUUUUACAAAAGUCCGUAUUUUGCUAGUUUAAUCUGGGAAAGGACGCACAACCCAAAGAAUAGGAGCCUUGUUGCAGAAGAACCAAUUUCAUUCACCAGGGUAUUUUACCAGUAGUCGCGCUGGGCACCUGGCUAGGCAGUCACCGCCCCAUGCUUCUCAGCUCCAGGCGGAGCUGCAGCGGGAGGAGAGCCUGGACGUGCUGCCAUCCCGGGAGCCGGGCCCGACUCGCUCAGGCCUUUCUAGACCCAUUUCAGGUGAGUCACCCCUGCUCCCCACGCCCCCUCAGCCCAGCAGAGGUGACCUGGCCCUCCUUCCUCCUUUUUUCCUACCAGGGCCUCUGACGUGAGGCUAUUAGCCAUUCAGACUUCACACUGUAGCCCUUUCCUUGCAUCUCGGGAAAUCUUUAAAUGAGCAGGCAGAUUACCUAGUCUCUGGACAGAACCAUAAGCACAAGACACUGCGUGAUAUGUUACAGAGACUCCACUAAGUAUAGUAAGUCUGCUGGGGUUUUCAAGGGUUUGAGAAUCUCAAGGUGAUGGAAUUAUUCAAAGGGCAAGAUUUUUUUUAAGUCUCCAUUCUCUGAGUAUAACAGCGUAUGAACUAGUUCCUGAAGUA